RNAcentral lists this ribosomal RNA (460 nucleotides) under uncultured bacterium. RNAcentral describes it as "partial 16S ribosomal RNA". It matches the Rfam family "Bacterial small subunit ribosomal RNA", at positions 338 to 795 of the family's 1533-position model. The record is from RNAcentral.
CCUACGGGAGGCAGCAGUGAGGAAUAUUGGGCAAUGGACGAGAGUCUGAACCAGCCAAGUAGCGUGAAGGAUGACUGCCCUAUGGGUUGUAAACUUCUUUUAUAUGGGAAUAAAAUGUUCCACGUGUGGGAUUUUGUAUGUACCAUAUGAAUAAGGAUCGGCUAACUCCGUGCCAGCAGCCGCGGUAAUACGGAGGAUCCGAGCGUUAUCCGGAUUUAUUGGGUUUAAAGGGAGCGUAGGUGGAUUGUUAAGUCAGUUGUGAAAGUUUGCGGCUCAACCGUAAAAUUGCAGUUGAAACUGGCAGUCUUGAGUACAGUAGAGGUGGGCGGAAUUCGUGGUGUAGCGGUGAAAUGCUUAGAUAUCACGAAGAACUCCGAUUGCGAAGGCAGUUCACUGGACUGCAACUGACACUGAGGCUCGAAAGUGUGGGUAUCAAACAGGAUUAGAUACCCCUGUAGUC